AGAGUUUGAUCCUGGCUCAGGAUGAACGCUAGCGGCAGGCCUAAUACAUGCAAGUCGAGGGGCAGCAGUACUUUUCGGAGUAGCUGGCGACCGGCGCACGGGUGCGUAACGCGUAUGCAAUCUACCCACAGCACAGGGAUAGCCCGUGGAAACAUGGAUUAAUACCUGAUAACACAUUGUUUUCACCUGGGGACGAUGUUAAAGUUUUAACGGCAGUGGAUGAGCAUGCGUCCCAUUAGCUAGUUGGUGAGAUAACGGCUCACCAAGGCGAUGAUGGGUAGGGGUUCUGAGAGGAUGAUCCCCCACACUGGGACUGAGACACGGCCCAGACUCCUACGGGAGGCAGCAGUGGGGAAUAUUGGACAAUGGGCGCAAGCCUGAUCCAGCCAUGCCGCGUGGGUGAAGAAGGCCUUAGGGUUGUAAAUCCCUUUCAGCGGGGAAGAUAAUGACGGUACCCGCAGAAGAAGCCCCGGCUAACUCCGUGCCAGCAGCCGCGGUAAUACGGAGGGGGCUAGCGUUGUUCGGAAUUACUGGGCGUAAAGCGCGCGUAGGCGGACCUGUAAGUCGGGGGUGAAAGCCCGAGGCUCAACCUCGGAACUGCCUCCGAUACUACAGGUCUUGAGUCCGAGAGAGGUGAGUGGAAUUCCUAGUGUAGAGGUGAAAUUCGUAGAUAUUAGGAAGAACACCAGUGGCGAAAGC
Molecule: ribosomal RNA, 699 nt
Filed under: uncultured bacterium
Lineage: Bacteria
Description: bacterial SSU rRNA
Rfam family: Bacterial small subunit ribosomal RNA
Source: RNAcentral